AUGACCGCGGCCUGGACGCGGCCAGUCGCUGCUACCUGUGCGUUUUCCCGCCUCCACGUCAAGCUCGCCCGUACGGCCAAGGACCUCCGCAUUUGGAGUCAGAGCGUCUUUGGUGACGCAAAGCUGCAAUUCCACAUAACCUGCGAGGUAAUCUUGCGCCUCGAUGAAGCCCAGGAAAGACGUCACGUCUCGCCGGCCGAACGAGAACUGCGGAAGGGACUCAAGCUCAGGUUGUUGGGGCUGGCAGCGAUCGAGCGCUACAGGAAGAGGCAGGCCUCUAGGCUCACCUGGUUGCGCUCUAGAGACGCCCCAACCAAUUUCUUCAUGGCAAAGAUUUAGUCGAGAAGGAGGAAGAAUUUCAUUCAUGCUCUGAAAGUCAAUGAAACAGUAGCCACGGCGCACAGCGACAAAGAAGCGGCCAUUCACAGCCAUUUUGACAGCAUCCUCGGGUCUACCAAGUAGUGAUCAACUACGAUAAACUGGAGCCAGAUUCACAUGCCAACAAUUCAAGGUGGUGGACUUGACAACCCAUUUUCUGAGCAAGAAGUG
RNAcentral lists this ribosomal RNA (549 nucleotides) under Triticum aestivum (bread wheat). Its description in RNAcentral is "partial small subunit ribosomal RNA". The record is from RNAcentral. Lineage: Eukaryota; Viridiplantae; Streptophyta; Magnoliopsida; Poales; Poaceae.